RNAcentral lists this ribosomal RNA (449 nucleotides) under uncultured bacterium. RNAcentral's name for it is "partial 16S ribosomal RNA". It matches the Rfam family "Bacterial small subunit ribosomal RNA", at positions 29 to 523 of the family's 1533-position model. The record is from RNAcentral.
AACGAACGCUGGCGGCAGGCUUAACACAUGCAAGUCGAACGAGAUCUUCGGAUCUAGUGGCAGACGGGUGAGGAACACGUGGGAACAUCCCUUUCAGUUCGGAAUAACGUUGGGAAACUAACGCUAAUACCGGAUACGUCCUUCGGGAGAAAGAUUUAUCGCUGAAAGAUUGGCCCGCGUCUGAUUAGCUAGUUGGUGAGGUAACGGCUCACCAAGGCUACGAUCAGUAGCUGAUCUGAGAGGAUGAUCAGCCACAUUGGGACUGAGACACGGCCCAAACUCCUACGGGAGGCAGCAGUGGGGAAUAUUAGACAAUGGGCGCAAGCCUGAUCCAGCCAUGCGGCGUGAGUGAUGACGGCCUUCGGGUUGUAAAGCUCUUUUGUCCGGGAAGAUAAUGACUGUACCGGAAGAAUAAGCCCCGGCAAACUUCGUGCCAGCCGCCGCAGUAA